UUAGCUCGUAUUUGUAUGGAACGGGAUCGUUUGCCUACGUUUGCCGCUAGGGGCGCUGUUCCAACUGCAUACAAAACUGAGUUA
RNAcentral lists this microRNA precursor (84 nucleotides) under Bombyx mori (domestic silkworm). RNAcentral describes it as "mir-2807 microRNA precursor family". It matches the Rfam family "mir-2807 microRNA precursor family". Lineage: Eukaryota; Metazoa; Arthropoda; Insecta; Lepidoptera; Bombycidae. The record is from Rfam by way of RNAcentral.